This 1015-nucleotide long non-coding RNA is filed under the name Anser brachyrhynchus (Pink-footed goose). RNAcentral's name for it is "lncRNA (ENSABRG00000022129.1)". Lineage: Eukaryota; Metazoa; Chordata; Aves; Anseriformes; Anatidae. The record is from RNAcentral.
UCAUCUAUAAUAUUUCUCUUACAUAUUCUAUUGUACUUACCUUCUGUAAAAAUUGACUAAAAUCAGACCUCUACAUCUAAAGACAGAGUGGCACUGAAAAUCUGAAUCUCCCCUUACUUCUUGAGUUUCUUUCUGAUGAUCACAGCACACAGUCCAAUAUUACAAAGACUGCAGCAGGACAGAAUUCAGGUGAGGACGUAUUUUAGCCCCUUGGCAAAACCACAGAAUGAGGACAAAAACAAGCUAACUUCCUAUUGCAUUCUGACAGAGAACAUAAAUAGGUGGAACUGACCAAAGUCCCAAAAUACACUCAGUCACCUGCAAAACCGUACCGCCUCCUCCCAUUUGGAAACAGUUUGCAUGCACUCUGCUGAUUUCUAUGUCUGCAUCUGCAGACUGUGUACAACCACAGGGAACAGCAGCUCAGGAAUCAAGCUCUCUAGGAAUCCAAACUGUGCACCUCUCUGGAAAGGGUUCACAGGCUGCAAGGUACCUGCUGGAAGCACAGCAAACAGGGAUGGUCGUCUGAGCCCAAGGGACGAACUAUUAACACUAAAUGGACAAUCACUUAAAGAUCUGUCUGGCAAAGAGGCUGAAACUCUCAUUCAAUCAUCAACACGGCUGGUGAACAUAGUGAUGGCUAGCAAAGAAAUGUCAACCUGUAAGGAAAGACCUUUGGAAAUACAAAACGGUUGUUUUCUGCACAGUAAAGCCACAUGUCAACGGACUCGCAGUAACUCAACCAGUAAGUUGCAAAGAAGUAAUCUUUCUUCUUGUAAUAUUCGGGGAGCAAACAGCACAGCACUUCAUCAUGUGAUGGUACUGCAGUGUUGAAAGAAAUUGCAGCUGUUGUCCAGACGUAGGCUGGCAUCCUCAGCUCUGAACUGCUGACCAAAAAUCAUCAGCGUUUAUAUUCACAGUAUCCUACAAUCUAGGGUGUUGUGCAGAAACUUUUUUUUUUUUUUUAAGGUAUAUUCUAAAUAAACCGAUGCUCUUUUGGUAGGGAAUGUUUGCU